RNAcentral lists this small RNA (745 nucleotides) under Pan troglodytes (chimpanzee). RNAcentral's name for it is "processed transcript". Lineage: Eukaryota; Metazoa; Chordata; Mammalia; Primates; Hominidae. The record is from RNAcentral.
AUCAAAGUUCUUUCUCUUCUUGGACUUUUAAAUUGUGGCUACCUAAAUAGAGUAUCUGGCAAGAGUAAGAUUAAGCAGUAAUUUGUUCCAAAGAAGAAUCUUCUACCAAGGAGCAACUUUAAAGAAUGAAAUUAACUUUCCUCUUGGGCCUGUUGGCUCUUAUUUCAUGUUUCACAUCAGCGGUUGCUAAGCAUGAAGGGACAGUGGACUGCAGGAAGAGGACACAGGGCAGCCCAGUGAGAGUCAAAGAUUCUCCAGAAGACCAUAUCUACCUGGCCAGCUGCCACCACCUCCACCCUACAGGCCAAGAUGGGUUCCACCAAGUCCCCCACCUCCCUAUGGCUCAAGACUUAAUUCACCACUUUCUCUUCUCUUUGUCCCAGGGCGAGUUCCACCAUCUUCUCUCUCUCGAUUUAGCCAAGCAGUCAUUCUAUCUCAACUCUUUCCAUUGGAAUCUAUUAGACAACCUCGACUCUUUCCGGGUUAUCCAAACCUGCAUUUCCCUCUAAGACCUUACUAUGUAGGACCUAUUAGGAUAUUAAAACCCCCAUUUCCUCCUACUCCUUUUUUUCUUGCUAUUUACCUUCCUAUCUCUAAUCCUGAGCCCCAAAUAAAUAUCACCACCGCAGAUACAACAAUCACCACAAAUCCCCCUACCACUGCAACAGCAACCACCAGCACUUCCACAAAACCCACAAUGACGGUCAGCUCCUCAACAGUACCUAUCUCUUCAACACCAGAGCCU